AUUGUACGCUGGCGGCAGGCCUAACACAUGCAAGUCGAGCGAGCGGCGGACGGGUGAGUCAUGUCUGGGAAACUGCCUGUUGGAGGGGGAUAACUACUGGAAACGGUAGCUAAUACCGCAUACCAUCUGAUGUGCCAAGGUGGGAUUAGCUAGUCGGUGGGGUGACGGGUCACCUAGGCGACGAUCCCUAGCUGGUCUGAGAGGAUGACCAGGCAGACGGGAACUGAGACACGGUCCAGAGUGCUACGGGAGGCAGCAGUGGGGAAUAUUGCACAAUGGGGGCAAGCCUGAUGCAGCCAUGCCGCGUGUGUGAAGAAGGCCAUGGGGGUGUAAAGCACUGUCAGCGGGGAGGCGUUACCCGCAGAAGAAGCACCGGCUAACUCCGUGCCAGCAGCCGCGGUAAUAC
Molecule: ribosomal RNA, 406 nt
Filed under: uncultured bacterium
Lineage: Bacteria
Description: partial 16S ribosomal RNA
Rfam family: Bacterial small subunit ribosomal RNA
Source: RNAcentral